This 599-nucleotide ribosomal RNA is filed under the name uncultured Geobacter sp. RNAcentral describes it as "bacterial SSU rRNA". It matches the Rfam family "Bacterial small subunit ribosomal RNA", at positions 335 to 924 of the family's 1533-position model. The record is from RNAcentral. Lineage: Bacteria; Pseudomonadati; Thermodesulfobacteriota; Desulfuromonadia; Geobacterales; Geobacteraceae.
ACUCCUACGGGAGGCAGCAGUGGGGAAUUUUGCGCAAUGGGGGAAACCCUGACGCAGCAACGCCGCGUGAGUGAUGAAGGCCUUUGGGUCGUAAAGCUCUGUCAGAGGGGAAGAAAUGAUAUAGUGCUAAUACCACUCUAUCUUGACGGUACCCCCAAAGGAAGCACCGGCUAACUCCGUGCCAGCAGCCGCGGUAAUACGGAGGGUGCGAGCGUUGUUCGGAUUUAUUGGGCGUAAAGCGCGUGUAGGCGGUUAUUUAAGUCUGAUGUGAAAGCCCCGGGCUCAACCUGGGAAGUGCAUUGGAUACUGGGAGACUUGAAUACGGGAGAGGGUAGUGGAAUUCCUAGUGUAGGAGUGAAAUCCGUAGAUAUUAGGAGGAACACCGGUGGCGAAGGCGGCUACCUGGACCGAUAUUGACGCUGAGACGCGAAAGCGUGGGGAGCAAACAGGAUUAGAUACCCUGGUAGUCCACGCCGUAAACGAUGAGUACUAGGUGUUGCGGGUAUUGACCCCUGCAGUGCCGCAGCUAACGCAUUAAGUACUCCSCCUGGGAAGUACGGUCGCAAGACUAAAACUCAAAUGAAUKGACGMKGUUGMGG